AGAGUUUGAUCAUGGCUCAGAUUGAACGCUGGCGGCGUGCCUAACACAUGCAAGUCGAGCGGUAACAGGUGUAGCAAUACAUGCUGACGAGCGGCGAACGGGUGAGUAAUGCUUUGGAAUCUUCCCAGUAGUGGGGAAUAACCAGUCGAAAGAUUGGCUAAUACCGCAUACGUCUGUAAAGGGAAAGCGGGGGCUCGUAAGACCUCGCGCUAUUGGAUGAGCCAAAGUCGGAUUAGCUAGUUGGUGGGGUAAUGGCCUACCAAGGCGACAAUCCGUAGCUGGUCUGAGAGGACGACCAGCCACACCGGAACUGAGACACGGUCCGGACUCCUACGGGAGGCAGCAGUGGGGAAUAUUGGACAAUGGGGGAAACCCUGAUCCAGCGACGCCGCGUGUGUGAAGAAGGCCUGCGGGUUGUAAAGCACUUUUAGUGGGGACAAAAAGCUACGGACUAACACUUCGUGGUCUUGAUUUAACCCAAAGAAAAAGCACCGGCUAACUCUGUGCCAGCAGCCGCGGUAAUACAGAGGGUGCGAGCGUUAAUCGGAAUUACUGGGCGUAAAGCGCGCGUAGACGGUUUUGUAAGUCAGAUGUGAAAUCCCUGGGCUCAACCUGGGAACUGCAUUUGAAACUGCAUGGCUAGAGUAUGGAAGAGGGAAGUGGAAUUUCCGGUGUAGCGGUGAAAUGCGUAGAUAUCGGAAGGAACACCAGUGGCGAAAGCGACUUCCUGGUCCAAUACUGACGUUCAUGUGCGAAAGCGUGGGGAGCAAACAGGAUUAGAUACCCUAGUAGUCC
Molecule: ribosomal RNA, 795 nt
Filed under: uncultured bacterium
Lineage: Bacteria
Description: bacterial SSU rRNA
Rfam family: Bacterial small subunit ribosomal RNA
Source: RNAcentral